RNAcentral lists this long non-coding RNA (1180 nucleotides) under Marmota monax (woodchuck). Lineage: Eukaryota; Metazoa; Chordata; Mammalia; Rodentia; Sciuridae. The record is from RNAcentral.
AGUUUAAUUGUAGUCACUUUUACAUAAUAUCCCCAAAGCAGUAAAUACUGCAUCUCAUGGAAUUCAAGUAAAAGUUCUGUACAUGGGGUUACUUUUAUCCUAGUAGUCAAAGAAGACUGUGUUGGGAGACCCAAAAAAGAUUAUAUGUUUUUAUAUAUUUCAUAAUGUGUGAUAUAACAAAUUUGUUCCAUAUAUUUUAAUGAUUUUGUAGAUUAAAACUGUUUUGAGAAGGCCAUUUGCUUUGAGAAAUAUUUUUGCUGAAACUGAGCUAAAUUGAGCAUUCUUUCUAACCAGUCUGGAAAAGUGCUGCACCAUGGCAUUUACCUUUCUUCCCCUGAGGCUAUUAUGCCUCACAUUUUUUCUAUUUAUGUAUGACUUUACUAAUGAGACACAAAAAAUUCCCAUGGUUUCUCUAGCUUCCUCCUUUUAUUUCAAACCUGUACCAGAUGGUUUAUGUGCUUUAGGGUCCUGUUGGAUAAACCAAAUAUUCAGUUAGAAAUUCUGUGCCAUUAGGUUUGACAGUGAAAAGAGGUAGUCCCAUCUGCCUGUUUUGACCAGAGUGUAAAUCAUUAAAUAAUAGCAUUAGAAGGAUUUUGAAGAAGUUAUUUGAUCUACCCUGCUGCUUUAUAGAGGCAAAUGACCUCAUUCACUAGCAUUUCUUCCUCAUAGUUUAUUACUGUUCACAAUCUUAGCUACUUCUUUGACAACAACAACAACAACCACAACAAAAGUGAUAUUGAGAUGUGGAUGCUGGCUACUUAGUUCACUUGUAGCUAGAUAAUUGGUUUUGAAAUACCAGCCUCCUUGUUCUUGAGAUUCAUUUGUUUGCACCUCUAUAGAAUUAUAAAAUAUAAUAUGUGGUAGCAUAGCCUUUCCUGAAUCAUUCUGAGUUAUCAGUAUAGUCAAGCCACAAAUGCAAGCCGUAGGACAAGAUUUUAAAAAUACAAUAUAGUAGUGAGAAUAAAAGUGAAUAAGUAUUUUUCCUUAUUUCUUCUUAUCAGAGAAUGGAGCUCAAGAUAGUUUAGGACCAGAGAAGAGAUUGGAGUAACUGCUGGUUUUGGAAAUUAGACACUUCUGUAUACUAUUUCUAGUACUCAGCACAGGGCCUGAAUCAUAGUGGAUAUUCAUAUGUUUAAGUAAGUAAAUAAAGGCAUUAUACUUACCAGAACUUUUAGGUCUA